Molecule: long non-coding RNA, 1638 nt
Organism: Takifugu rubripes (torafugu)
Lineage: Eukaryota; Metazoa; Chordata; Actinopteri; Tetraodontiformes; Tetraodontidae
Source: Ensembl
AUGUCUCUCCCAGACUUCCGCCGUACUGCCUGUGUGGCAGGGCGUGGCCUGCCCUCCAAACAGGUGCCAUAUGGAGGUAGUGCCUUAAUUGGUGGGUGGGGAGAAAAGGUUUAUAUAAGGCACUGCCUCCAGCUGGCUUUAGUUGUUUUCCCCCUUCGACGGUACGGCGGGGUUGCGGCUUAUCUGGGCGGUUCGACCAACAGAAACUGUUUCACAGAGCGAGCAUGCUGUUUGGCAGCGCCAACAAGGUUGGUGCUUCCUCCCGCCAUCCUUCCACCUAGAACGCUUUGCCGUAAGGGCACGCGCGCUAGUUUGCACUGGGCAGUUGGCUGCCGGCUGGCGUCAGUGGGUCGCGUUGCCCCAGCGGGAACCCCUCACAGAGUGGUGGCGCCACCAAACACAGUCGGCACGGACUACCUUGCUUACUGGACCCACUGCUGCUUUGACUCGGUCCUUUGGUUCGGGAUUCUCUCUCGUUCUCUCUCUCUCUCUUUCUCGCUCGCUCCCCUUCGCUCAGAGAAACGGCGCUGAGACGUGGUGGUGCCGCCGAGGCGACCACAGGGCUUUUGCCUAAAUUUUAGACUCUUAACAGUGUGUAAAUUGUAUCAGUUUAUAUUUACUUUUUUUAGGUUUUGUUGCUUUUCGUUUCUUGGUUGACGUUGUGUUCUUUUAGACGACCUGGUCACCAUUUAUUUGCCUGUCUGUGUGUGUGUGCACGUGUGUGCUCGUCGCGUCUGAUUUUUUAUCAUUGUAAAUUUAAUUGUUCCUUUUCUUUGUGGACAGGUGCUGCGGGCCACGGCAGGGACCCAACCCCUGGUGGAGGGCGUUUUCAUCACCCUCCUCGUGUGUGGUUUUGCUUGCAGUAGCACAGGUGUUUUUAGUUUGUUUAUCUCCCCUAAUUGAGUUUAACCUGCUGGUGGGGCCCCAGCCCUGUCCACCCCUUUUGUUAAUUUAACUUUUGUAUAGCUGCGUCAUUUUUUUUGUUGAGUAUUGGAUUUAAUAAAAUUGUAGUGCAUAACCCUCAAUCCUGUCUCGGCCUCUGGAAUAGAACCUUAUCUGCGUGUGCCUGUUCUCCGGUUAAUUCCUGGGGUGAAAUUCCCUAGGUGGCGUUGUCGUCAACCGAUACACCUCCCACCCCGCCACACCUGGAAGGUCAGGAUUUCCUUCCAUGGCUUCUUUCACUAAUUGUGGAAGUCCUAAAAUUAUUGCCUGACGGAACAAAGUGGUGUGUAGAUUAUCUGAGCCAGGAUGGCACCCUGUGGCACACAUCCAUUCCUCUUUACACCUCAUAAGGAAUCCAUGUGCCAACUCACUUUCCUCCCACUUAAAUCUUAAGUUCUGCAUUGCUCCUGGAGAUAUUGGAAAUAUCUGUCUCAUAGCUUCACCAACCCUGUUUGCACAAGGUCCAAAACGUGCAGCAUUAGGUCUGUCUUUAAUGCCUGCUGCUACUUCAACUUUAUCCAAAUCCCAGAGAGAUACUUGUCUCCCUAAAAUUCCUCUAAAGUCUCCUAUCGCCAGCUGCAUGUUCUGUGUUCAGCUAAAAAGGCUGGACAUCCACUUGCCGCCUCCCUCUGCGGUUGGGGGCAUCUUGUCAACUAAACAAUUGAUAUAUGUAAUAGCAAACGGAAAAUAUACUGU